GGUAAAUCAGCUGAUUAUUUCAUCAUGAUUCUGCAAGGUAAAGUAAUGGUUAAAGUUGGCAUCGAAAAUCUUACGUUCCAGAGUGGUCCCUUGCAUACUUGGCAUUCAGGCCUUGAUGAAAGGCAGUUUACAGGGUCUGCCAAUGGCCAACUCCUCCCCGGUGAAUCGCCUCCUGCAGGAUGCUUUCUCGCACUUCUUCCCGGAUCCUGGCCCCAAUGAUCUGGACCUCCCACCACCAUCCGUACCGCGGCAAUCGCCAUACCAUUCACGAGAGGGCAGCACCCAUGAUGGCGGUGUUCUUGAAGAAGGUGAACUUUCCUCAGAAUCGGCAGCCAUCCUCCUUGAGGCGGUCCGUCUCGAGAUCAAGCAAGACAAUCUUGAACAGGCCCAGCAUGCGAGCAAUGCGCUGAUGGAAGCAGAGCGGGAACACACAGCGCUGAACACAGGAGCAGUGAAGCAGCCAGGUCCUGAGCCACAAGAGUCGGUCGGAGCCUCGCCUCAGAACAGCAGUAAAAGCCAGGGUAGCGUCACGUCUGCCAUUUUCACCCCGUACUACACCGUGAGCACUCACGGAGAGGUAUACUACAUGCGCAUCUCCCGCAGUCUCUACCAGGCCCUUGUGCAGGCCACCAUCAUUGAGCGAAGCAAAGAACGCGACAGAGCUGACAAAGCAUGGAAUCAAAACAACGGAUCCAUAGAAAACAUAAUUGGUCAUUCAGAGUAUGUUCCAUUGACUGAGAGAGAAAUUUCGCCAGGUAACGAGUUGCACAAUUUCGAAAACGGUGAGCGGAAACAAGACUCUCAUAAGAUUACCUUUGACGAUUACCUCAGAAACAACUUAAAUAAAUAAAGCUGAAUGACUAUGACCAGAGAAUGAUGUCAAUUUAUCAGAACAGUUGACUCAAAUUUCAGACCGUAUCCAUAAACCCAGACGAUUAAAUUAGUCUUCCAAAUAUUGAACAAAGCUGACGUUAGAAGUUCACAAAUUGCUGGGCUAUCUUUUGAAAUAAAGAGCUCUCCUGCAAGUCUCGUGUAUUUUUUUCUCCGAAUUCGGCAAUGGAAAAGUUUUGUUAUGAAACCAGUCAUAAAUAGGUUUAGAAGCUUACCGUUAGUGCAUUAUUUAUAAUUUUUCACAGAGUGUUUCGAAAUAGAGAAGCAGUAUUAUAUGAUAAGUAGUGCGUCAAAGAAGGAAUAAUGUUAUUGGUCAACGUAAAUUCUCACCAAAUAUUGCAAAACGUUAUUUUAUACAGAAAAAUGUUAUACUGAAUAUUUUUUGCUACUGUACAAACUUUGCUGUUAUGUUUAGGUUAAGUAUCUAUGCUCGACUUCACUUCUCCUUCUAAUUUUUUUAAAGUUUUCUUUUUUUGUGUAGUGUAAAAUUGUAUCACAAUUAGAUGUGAUGAAUCGGAAGCCAUAAUGAUUAUACGAUUGUUAUGGAUGUGAUUCCGAAAAAAAUGGACUGUACAUCCCAUUGACUAAUUGUAAAUUAGAUUGUUAAAAUUUCUCAAUUUUGAGAGAAGAAUUAUGUUACCAUUUUUUCAUUGUUAUUGUUUGUUAGCUCCGAUUAAGAGAGUAGCUGUUCCAGGACUAGAAUCGAUACUGCCUUGCUUAAAAAACGCUGUUUGAACAUCGGAAUGCUGCCAAAUUCCCUCCAAUGAAACAACCAUUUUCGUGAAAAUUCAUGAAUAUUUUUCUCUGAAAUUUUCAGAUGUUGUAAAUUAAAUUGCAAAGGAUAUUCUCUGAAAAAUUGGGAGAAAAAGAUUUUUUAGUUUCCCUGAGAACUCGUUUACUAUCAAAGGAAGUUUGGCAUCGUCUAAUGGCUUAUACAGCGUUCUGCUUAAGCCUGGCACAAUUCUUGUUUAAUAUGCUCUUGAAAUUAUUGAAACAAUGGCCGAACUCUGAUUCUCGAAUGCCUAAUGUUCCAAAUUUCUGGUUACGCUUGCAUUUUUAAACGGCGAACUAGCUACCGUCACUUCUUAAAAAACUAUCUCUCCAAAUGAACCAUAUUCUGUGAAUAUUUCAAAUGAAGAAGUUGAUUCGUUUUUUUAAAGAGAAUUAAUACAAUUAAGAGAAAAUGACGGUGAUAAACGUGCGUGUUUACAUAUCAAAAAGUCUUCAACUUCUCAAAUCAGUACAAAAUUUGCUAAGAUCAAGAAUAUGUCUACUAUUCCACGAAUUUUUUGCAUUUUUAGAACAAUCCGCAUUUUAAUUUUUACCUUUUAAAUUAAUUUUAAAAAGUCCAGGGAGCAGAGAAUAAUGCUACUCAAUAAUUUACAACAGUUAAUUUUUGAUGAUUCUUCAUGCAAUUUACGUCUAUGUAAUUCUGUUUUUUAGUUUGUUUUAUAAAUACUUUUUUUAUUUUCUGCGUAUGAAAGUAUGGUUCGUACUUCAUGGUAUUAUACCGAAAUAAGAUAGAGCGGCUAUGAACGAAAUGAACGGAAGUUUUAUGGCGUUGCUCAGUGUAAAAAUGGCUAAAACCGUACCUCACAAACGUGCCUUAUUCCAGUACCUUUCAUGAUAUCAAUAAAAUUUUGUUUUCAAAUUUUUGUUAUGGACACUCCACUAGAGUGCUGGGAGAAUCCAGUAAAAUUUCUUAAAAGAAGCAAGAAUUUGAUGACUACUGUCUAAAACCAUGUAUCUCCUGUUGCUAGAAUUUCUCAUCAUACUUGCUGUUUUGUGCUGGAAAAUGAUCAAUGCAAUUUCUCAAAUCUUUUGAUUUGUUUCUCUGCAUAAUAAAUUUUCUGUGCAAAUUUCGAGCGAUGAAGUUGGUUUAUUUAUUUUAUAAUAAAAACGGCGAGGAUUCAGAAAUUUGACACGCUGUAAUUGAUUCAUAGGAUUUUAGAAUUUAGUCAUCAGUAUAUGUUCUCAUGAAAUUCACCAUAAUGAUGCACGGAAGAGGAAAGUGAAUUCAGCCGUUACCAUAAGAUUGUUUGUGUAACUUCUAGUUUAUGUAAAAAAUUGUUGAAUGAAACCACUGUUAUUCACAAACUGUUAUCAUUGAUCUAGUUGUAAUAAAUUUCAAAAAAUUUCUUUUGACUUGGAUACCUGACAGUUUUUUCUUCGUGUGUGCAUUUUUCUAGUGGUGCUGUAGAUGCAUAUCGCCUUGUCUCCACGGGAUUUUUCUCAAGUUUGAAUCGCAGGAAUGAAACUUCUGGGCUCUUUACCCAUUAAAAAACAGACCAAAAUUAUUUCCUUCUUUUGAAGUCGUUCCUGGGACUCCACAAGGACUCUUAGUUGGUAUUGUGAUUGGUACUGACUAACUCAAUAUUUUUCCCAACUUUGCAAGUGAGAUUUUUCCCUGGGACAAAUCCCAUGAAACAUCUCGCGGAGACACGGCGUAGGAAUGCUCAAUAUUGUUACUCAAUGCUCAAUGAUCUUUGAUAGUAGAUUGGACUGAUGAGUUGCGUUUAUGAAACCAAGGAAUCUAAUGUUUUUUUAUAAGAUUGCUUCAGCUAUGAAGCUAAGAAGCUUACAAGUAUUCCUUUGUGAAUUCUUAGUUGAUGAGCCCUACCGUACAGGAAUAAGCAGGACUUGACUUCAGGGAAUGUUUUUCGGGUUUCAGAGAAGAGAAAAAAAUUACCAUCAGAAAAAG
RNAcentral lists this long non-coding RNA (3592 nucleotides) under Bemisia tabaci. RNAcentral describes it as "lncRNA ENSSSA1NGG002914". The record is from RNAcentral. Lineage: Eukaryota; Metazoa; Arthropoda; Insecta; Hemiptera; Aleyrodidae.